Long non-coding RNA from Lathyrus oleraceus (garden pea), 1208 nucleotides. RefSeq lists it as uncharacterized. Lineage: Eukaryota; Viridiplantae; Streptophyta; Magnoliopsida; Fabales; Fabaceae. The record is from RefSeq and is a predicted model, not a curated record. The transcript is spliced from 2 exons.
UGCAAUCAGCGAAUGGGCCUUAGGCCCAAGAAACUUUCUACAAACAAAAAGAAUAGUCCAAGGUAAUGCAGCAAAAGGGGGUAUGUUCCUGGAACAGUCGAAUGGAUGCACAGUUGGUCUUGGGCCUAGAAUAAGGCCCAAGGAAACUCAACUACCAUAAGCCAAACGGAAAGGGAAAAUUCAAAGCUGAAGUGGGAAAUUAAUUUCGGCCUAGGGUCCAAUGAUUGCACAUUCAACAAGGCUUGACUUCACGUGGCCCAAGGGUAUCAUCAUAAUGAGACGCGUGGGAGAGAAAAACCAAUAAAAUCCAAAUGAAACUGUGACUCCUCACCUUCUUCCAUUCAACUCACUCUCUCUCGUCACCGUCUCCACCGUAUCAGGGGCUCCCUCGGCGGCGGAGACACCAUGAAAACUCCCAUUGGAACAGCCUUUCUACUCUUAUCCGUCCGCUAAAUCUAAAUAUGUCCAUUAAAAACUCUAAACGUAGAUCGAUUUUAUCCAAUCGAACGUACUCAGUCAAGAACCCUAAUGUAUCAAGGCCUAAUUAAAUGGUGUCAAGGCAUGGAUUCAUGCGCAAAACAUGGGGUUAAUGCUGCUAAAGAUGCCUAAUACACAGUGGUGAUCGACUUUGAGGCAAACAAAGAAGGAAAUAUUUACCUCCUAAACAAAGAACUGUUCCGACGAGUAUUGAUCGUAGGAGACGAGGUGCGAAUGAACCACGCUUGAACAACCAGGAAAAUGUACUAAUGUUUAUAGAACCAAGGCCCUCUGGUUUGGUUCAUGCUACCAUGAGCCAUAUGACUAGGAUUGAUGUAUCUUAAGUUAAGCCUCAGUUCAAUUAAAUGCACCCAUGUAAUGUGUGAUGUAUUGUUGGUCUGAAGGUUACAUGAUGCAGGGUUGUAAUGGUCAUGUUUGGAAUUGGCUUAACUUGGUAAGAACAUCAAGGUGGCAAAGGAAAAGCAAAGUGAAACCAAGGCAUAACCAACUUGAAAAGGGAUUUCUUGCUCAUGACAAUGAUGGAAACUCAUAGAACUAUGAAGAUGUAAUGGGAAUUCGGUUUUUAGGGGGUAAAUGUAAUGGUUGACUUUGGUCAAGUGGUUGACCAAAAAGUCAACAGUUGACCAAAAGUCAACUUUCCAAAAAAAAAUCUUUUUAUAAUGAACAUUGUAUUCUAAUGAAUGAAUUAAUGAUCCAUUAUUUGAGUGAAA